UGUGGGACCCAUCAGAGCUGGGCCCGGAUGGGGUGUGUCCGAAGAGUGGGCACAGAGUGAGCAUGGAGGUAAUGGUCACUGGCCAUGGGGUUUGGGACAAAGGGAACGGAAGACCACCUGCUCCUUCUUAUGCAGGUGCCUUAGUAUCUGUGAGUGGGACUGCCAGCCCAGCUCAAACUGGGUCUUCCAUACUGUGGUGGUUUGAAAGAAAUUGGCCCCAAAGGGAGUGGCCCUAUUGGAGGUGUGGCCUUGUUGGAGUGGGUGUGGUCUUGUUGGAGGAAGUGUGUCAACGUGGAGGUGGACUUUGAGGUCUCAUAUAUGCUCAAGCCAAGCCACACUCAGUGAGUGUCUCAGACUGCUGCUUCCUGUUGCCUGUGAGUCAAGAUGUAGGACUCUCAGCUAUUUCCAGCACCAUGUCUGCCUGCAUGCUGCCUCGCUCCGUACCAUGAUGAUAAUGGACUAAACCUCUGAAACUGUAAGACGCCAUCUCAAUUAAGUGUUUUCCUGUGUAAGAGUUGCUGUGGUCAUGAUGUCUCUUCACAGAAAUAGAAACCCUAACUAAGACACAUACUAAGGCCGUCGCAUGUGGUUGGGGAGGUAACUGUGUGUUUCUGGUGACAGCAGGGACGUAGGCCAACUCAGGAGGGAUAAUAACUUCUAAGCUGUGUUGUUAGGCAGAAAGAGGUGAAUUAUUUUCUGUUCGCUGAAGGCCAGUGGCCUUCAGUAGGGGUAGAGCUGUGGACCUCACACACCUCCGCAGUCAGAAUGUAGUAGUUGAUGUAGAUGCAUUAGAGAUACCAGGGAGAUGGGGGAUCAAACAUGAGGUCAAACAGAGCGAAGCUGACAACAGAUGGGCGUGUCUUUGCUCAGGUGGUUCCUGUGGCCCAACUGUCCUUAGAAUGCUGAGGUUUGCUUCUGGGCUCAGCGUGGACACCUCUCCUCUGUGCUGCUUUCUUUCUAGGCAUCCUUUGUGGAUUGGAGAGUUAAUGAAAACAUUUUCAUUUAAACUCUUCACUUUGCAUGUUUUAACUGUCUACAGAAGUAACAUAGAGAGCAGAGCAUAGUGUAAUGACCCCACUCCUCCCCUGGAACUGUCCAGCCUGAGGAAUGAUUGAUUUGUCAUUUCUCUGGUUUAUUUAUGCACUCUGAAGUGUUUAAACGAAACCUCAGGUGUCAUAUUGUUUUACGUAUAAAUUCUUCAGUACAUGUCUCUAGUAGAGAAAGACCUUUGAAAAACCACAACCAUAAUAAUAUUGUGGUCACGUGUAACGAGAUGAGCAAUUUCACAGUAACUUCUGGUUCGUGUCCAGGUUGCUCUUCUCCCAGAAAUGCCUUUUUAAAGUACUGUUUUAAAUUUAUGAGUAUGUGUGAACUCUGUGUGUGUGUGUGUGUGUGUGUGUGUGUGUGUGUGUGUGUGUGUACAUUGGGUGCCUACUCUACCACACUCUGCUUGAUUUCCUUAAGGCAGGUCUCUCACUGAACCUGGAGUGAAGCUGGAGGUGAGCAAGCCCCAUGUGAUCCUCCUGUCUCCACCAGGUUCACAAUGCUGGGGUUAGAGGUGUACGACACCACAUCUGGCUUUUUACCUGGAAUCUGGGAAUUCCUGGAAUCUGAGGAAAUCCAGGUCCUCAGUUUAAGCCAUCUCCCCAGCCCUGAGAUUUAUCUAUUUAUAGUUAGUUUGUUCCAACCUGGAUCCAAACAUUGUAUUUAUAUAUGUAUGUAUGUAUUACAUUUUGCUGACAUUCCCUGAGUCUUUUAGAAUCCAUAACAUUUCUUCUCUCUUCCUUUGUUUUAUUUUUUAUUUAGUUAUUCACUUGUUGGAGAGCUGGAUCAUUUAUCCUGUAGAAUUUCCACAUUCAGGUUUGGCUGAUUGCCCCCUCAAAGUGCUAUUUAAUGGGAAAUGCAUUCAGAUGACUCACAAUUCAAAAUAUACAAUAUUUGAAACAGACAAAAUGACCCUUGUUCCUCAGGUACCCAAUUUCCCUGCCUGGAGGCAAUCAUCAUUUCUUGUCUAUCUUCCCAGAGCUAUCUUCCUAUAAUUUAAUCACUCUGUCUUUAUUCCUGCCAUAGAUGAUAGUUAGUUACACAUCUUUUCUCAUACUCUUGCUUCUCUUACAUUGGAGAUUGGGGCUCUCGGUUUGUAUAUUUAAUCUUCAGCAAUAAUGCCUAGGAUGGGGCUGGAGAGAUGGCUCAGUGGUUAAGGGCACUUGGCUUUUCUUCCAGAGGACCCAGGUUCAAUAUCCAGCACCCACACAGCAGCUCACAGCUGUCUGUAAUGCUUACACCAAUGCACAUAAAAUAAAAUUAUACCAGCCUUUUUCUUUUGGGUCACCAACCAGCUCCCAAAUCAUAACAUGGAGACUUAUUAGUUUUGAGUGCCCGGCUUUAGCUUAGUUCAUUUCUGGCUAGCUCUUUUGGCUUAAAUUAACCUGUUUCUCUUUAUCUUCCUUUUGCCUUGGGGUUUUUUACUUUCCUUCUCUGUAUCCUACUUUCACUGCUUCUCAUGUGUGCUGGCUGUUGGCUCUCUGGCUUCUGGCUCCGGGUGUGUCCCCUAUUCUCUCCUCUUCUCCUUCUUCUUCUCUUGUUCCUCCUUCAUUCCUCUGGAGCUUGGAUUUCUGCUCUUAUUUAUUCUUUCCCUGCCAGCCCUGCCUAUCCUCUCUUUGCCUGGCUAUGGGCCAUUCAGCUCUUUAUUAGACGCAUCACGUGCCCUACGCAGGCAAGGUAAAAUAAAUGCAACACAUCUUUUCAUGAUUAAACAAAGGCAGCAGAAACAAAAUUGACACACCUUUACACAGUUAAAGUAACAUUCUGUAGCAUAAACAAAUGUGACACAUCUUUGCCUAGUUAAUAUUCCACAACAUAAAAUUAAAUAAAUUAUUAAAAAAAAACCCCAAUGCCUAGAAUAGAAUGGGUUUAAUGUCUGUCUCAGUGUCAGCUUAUGCCCUUGCCUUUGGAGAGGCCACAGAAAGAGUCUAAGGUUUUCAUCCAGAAUCCUGAGGUUGUACCUUUGCUUUGGGAAGGUCAUCCAGCCCUGUGGAGUGGCUCUUUUCCUUGUCUGUAAACUAGAGAUGGUGAUCACCGUUGGAGUCAGUGAAAGAUAAAGCAAAUGUGAAGCCCGAGGAAAGCACCCCAGCAGUAGAAAGCAGAAGUCAAGAGAUCCACGUGGUGGCUCUCACCAGCUCCUGCUGCUGGAGUUGCCUCUUGGCCUCGGAGCCUGAGUCUGGGGCCAGGCUGCUGCUGGGGUGGGCCUGAGGGGUGAAGAGGAGGAAGGAGGGCCACAGAGCUUCUAUCCCCAGAAGUUCCUUCUCUACCUGAUCCAUCAGACAAGCACUUAAUUCAGCAAACGUCUGGCAUUUAUAUUCCCCAAUGAAGGGGUGAGUGGACCCGCCGAGGAUGUUAGCCUUUUGCUUCUGGAAGGAGAAUCAACUCUUCAGCUGUUGAACAACUGCUUGUGUUGAGGACAGUUCUCCCUCCAGCCUAGAGAACGGAUUCUAAGGAUCUUGGUUUGCAAAGGGGAACUGUAGCAAUGUGUGGCUCUUCAGGAAUAUUCUCUGAGAUGUGAGCACCAUCCUGCCCAAACCAUUUUUUUUCUGUUCUUUCUUUCUCUCUUUCUUUCUUUCUUUCUUUCUUUCUUUCUUUCUUUCUUUCUUUCUUUCUUUCUUUCUUUCUUUCUUCUCCUCCUCCUCCUCUUCCCCCUCUUCCUCCCCUCCUCCCUCUCUUCCUCCCCUCCUCCCCCUUCUCCUCCCCUCCUUCUCCCCUUCUUCUCCUCCUCCCCCCCUUUCCCCCUCCUCCUCCUCUUUCCCCUUCCUCCUUCUUUUUUGUUUUUUUGAGACAGGGUUUCUCUGUGUAGCUCUGACUGUCCUGGAACUCAUUUUGUAGACCAGGCUGGCCUCGAACCCACAGAGAUCCGUCUGCCUCUGCCUCCUGAGUGCUGGGAUUAAAGGCGUGCACCACCACCACCCAGCCCAAACCAUUUUUCUAUUCAACUGUCCCUCUAGCUGACUUGAAUUAACCCAUUUUAUGCCUGGUGCUGCAUGAGGCUCAGAAGAUAUACAGGGAAGGAGACUCAAUCUCUGCCCUCUCUCGUCACUCCUGCUGUGUGCUAGGGGAGGAAAGGCAGGCAUGUAAGACAGCUCUGUCUUCUUUGCAGCUCUGCUCUGUGGGCUGGAGUGUUUGACCCACGUCAGCAACUGGCUCCCAGUAGACUAGGGUGGGUGGGUGCCUGCUGGAGAAAGCCUCAUCUGCAGCAAGGGGACUGUGUGGAUUGUUCCACAGUUCCUCUGCAUAUGCAGUGCCUGUCCACCUGGUGUGGAUCCUAUUCUGUGGAUUUUCGCGCUCUGUGCCCCAGAGACCUCCUUUUCCUGCUUCCCGUGGUUAUCAUGAGCGUUUGCCUGCGAACAUUCUGCAGAGAGGACAAUUGAAUCCUCGCUAUCUCUGUGACUGGCUCUCUCAGCGUCUGUGAUAAAUUCCACAUGUAAUGUGCUGGGGUGGGGUCACCUGAGGAUUGGUUUCCUGGGGUGAGGGAGGCAGUCUAUGAUUGAGCUGGCAUCUCCUUUCUGGCCUCUGUGUCCCCCAAGUCUUCCUGAGCACCAUAAAUCAGUGUGGUUCUCUGUAGGGGUCCCGAGCCUGAAGCCUUUGUGAUCCGGGGAUUGGUCAACAGGACCAACUGCCUUGCUGUAGUCUGGGAGACUCAGGGGACACUGUCUUCCCUUGGGGGGAAGCAUGGUGGGACUGCAGCUUUUCCCUGGAGACUGGCUCACCUGUGGUGGCCUCUCCGUAGGCCCAAGGACAUGCCAGUACCUACUUAUUUGGUCUAGGCUCUUCAGUGGCCUGUGGACUGUGGCCAUUAAUGGCACCCUGUUUUGUCAUUUCUGCAAACAGACUUUGUUUUUUAAAACAUGUGAAACAUUUAAGAACUGAUACUGAUAAAAUUGCAGUUUUGAACUCAUUUUUUUUCUUUAAAUAAAAAAUUAGACUUAUUCAUUUUA
Molecule: long non-coding RNA, 4988 nt
Organism: Peromyscus californicus insignis
Lineage: Eukaryota; Metazoa; Chordata; Mammalia; Rodentia; Cricetidae
Exons: 2
Source: RefSeq, a predicted model, not a curated record